AUUGAACGCUGGCGGAAUGCUUUACACAUGCAAGUCGAACGGCAGCACGGACUUCGGUCUGGUGGCGAGUGGCGAACGGGUGAGUAAUGUAUCGGAACGUGCCCAGUCGUGGGGGAUAACGUAGUGAAAAUUACGCUAAUACCGCAUACGAUCUAUGGAUGAAAGCGGGGGAUCGCAAGACCUCGCGCGAUUGGAGCGGCCGAUAUCAGAUUAGGUAGUUGGUGGGGUAAAGGCCCACCAAGCCAACGAUCUGUAGCUGGUCUGAGAGGACGACCGGCCACACUGGAACUGCGACACGGUCCAGACUCCUACGGGAGGCAGCAGUGGGGAAUUUUGGACAAUGGGCGAAAGCCUGAUCCAGCCAUUCCGCGUGCAGGAUGAAGGCCCUCGGGUUGUGAACUGCUUUUGUACAGAACGAAAAGGUUUCUACUAAUACUAGGAGCUCAUGACGGUACUGUAAGAAUAAGCACCGGCUAACUACGUGCCAGCCGCCGCCGUAA
This 500-nucleotide ribosomal RNA is filed under the name uncultured bacterium. RNAcentral's name for it is "partial 16S ribosomal RNA". It matches the Rfam family "Bacterial small subunit ribosomal RNA", at positions 30 to 523 of the family's 1533-position model. The record is from RNAcentral.